This 499-nucleotide ribosomal RNA is filed under the name Enterobacter asburiae. Its description in RNAcentral is "bacterial SSU rRNA". It matches the Rfam family "Bacterial small subunit ribosomal RNA", at positions 555 to 1053 of the family's 1533-position model. Lineage: Bacteria; Pseudomonadati; Pseudomonadota; Gammaproteobacteria; Enterobacterales; Enterobacteriaceae. The record is from RNAcentral.
UGGGCGUAAAGCGCACGCAGGCGGUCUGUCAAGUCGGAUGUGAAAUCCCCGGGCUCAACCUGGGAACUGCAUUCGAAACUGGCAGGCUAGAGUCUUGUAGAGGGGGGUAGAAUUCCAGGUGUAGCGGUGAAAUGCGUAGAGAUCUGGAGGAAUACCGGUGGCGAAGGCGGCCCCCUGGACAAAGACUGACGCUCAGGUGCGAAAGCGUGGGGAGCAAACAGGAUUAGAUACCCUGGUAGUCCACGCCGUAAACGAUGUCGACUUGGAGGUUGUGCCCUUGAGGCGUGGCUUCCGGAGCUAACGCGUUAAGUCGACCGCCUGGGGAGUACGGCCGCAAGGUUAAAACUCAAAUGAAUUGACGGGGGCCCGCACAACCGGUGGAGCAUGUGGUUUAAUUCGAUGCAACGCGAAGAACCUUACCUACUCUUGACAUCCACAGAACUUGGCAGAGAUGGAUUGGUGCCUUCUGCAACUCUGAGACAGGUGCUGCAUGGCUGUC